RNAcentral lists this long non-coding RNA (362 nucleotides) under Cucumis sativus (cucumber). Its description in RNAcentral is "long non-coding RNA (CSAT_LNC000197)". The record is from RNAcentral. Lineage: Eukaryota; Viridiplantae; Streptophyta; Magnoliopsida; Cucurbitales; Cucurbitaceae.
CAAUGGGUAGUUUGUUGAAUUGGAUUGAAUUUUACUUAACUACAAUAAAUCCUCGUAAACUUCCACAAUAAUAAAUGAAAGUUUGCAAUCAAAUGGUUAAAAAAAAUGCAAAGAUUUUUGGAGAAAAAUGUCUAAAACUGUGUGUAAAACAUAACUUCGUGAAUGUUGGCGGCUAGGUAAAAAAGAGAUCUAAUAUUGUAGCACCGCGACCCCGUGCAAUUUGCGUGCAAGGUCCCGUGUCCAAACUUUGUAAUGUUGCGACAUUGUGCACUAUGCUAAAAAACUAGCCAUUCUUUCUUACAGCUCUGCAACGCCAUGCUUUCUAUGUGCCACAUUGAUUUUUCUUACUCUGUUAACCCCUC